CGGGAAUUUUGGGCAAUGGGCGAAAGCCUGACCCAGCAACGCCGCGUGAGGGAUGAAGUAUUUCGGUAUGUAAACCUCGAAAGAAUGGGAAGAAUAAAUGACGGUACCAUUUAUAAGCUCCGGCUAACUACGUGCCAGCAGCUGCGGUAAUACGUAGGGAGCAAGCGUUGUUCGGAUUUACUGGGCGUAAAGGGCGCGUAGGCGGCGCGGUAAGUCACUUGUGAAAUCUCUGAGCUUAACUCAGAACGGCCAAGUGAUACUGCUGUGCUAGAGGGCGGAAGAGGCCACCGGAAUUCUCGGUGUCGCGGUGAAAUGCGUAGAUAUCAAGAGGAACACCUGAGGCGAAGGCGGGUUGCUGGGCCGACACUGACGCUGAUGCGCGAAAGCCAGGGGAGCAAACG
Molecule: ribosomal RNA, 401 nt
Filed under: uncultured bacterium
Lineage: Bacteria
Description: bacterial SSU rRNA
Rfam family: Bacterial small subunit ribosomal RNA
Source: RNAcentral